Molecule: transfer RNA, 73 nt
Filed under: Trichonephila inaurata madagascariensis
Lineage: Eukaryota; Metazoa; Arthropoda; Arachnida; Araneae; Nephilidae
Rfam family: tRNA
About the family: Transfer RNA (tRNA) molecules are approximately 80 nucleotides in length.
Source: Rfam by way of RNAcentral
GUCCCUGUUGAGCAAUGAAUAGCGCGUUGGACUUUUAAUCCAAAAGUCGUGGGUUCGAAUCCCUCCUGGGAUG